This 485-nucleotide ribosomal RNA is filed under the name uncultured bacterium. Its description in RNAcentral is "bacterial SSU rRNA". It matches the Rfam family "Bacterial small subunit ribosomal RNA", at positions 355 to 850 of the family's 1533-position model. The record is from RNAcentral.
UGGGGAAUAUUGCGCAAUGGGCGAAAGCCUGACGCAGCAACACCGCGUGAGGGAUGACGGCCUUCGGGUUGUAAACCUCUUUCAGCUCCGACGAAGCGAAAGUGACGGUAGGAGCAGAAGAAGCACCGGCUAACUACGUGCCAGCAGCCGCGGUAAUACGUAGGGUGCAAGCGUUGUCCGGAAUUAUUGGGCGUAAAGAGCUCGUAGGCGGUCCGUUGCGUCUGCCGUGAAAACCCGGAGCUCAACUCCGGGCCUGCGGUGGAUACGGGCGGACUAGAGUCCGGUAGGGGAGACUGGAAUUCCUGGUGUAGCGGUGGAAUGCGCAGAUAUCAGGAGGAACACCGGUGGCGAAGGCGGGUCUCUGGGCCGGAACUGACGCUGAGGAGCGAAAGCGUGGGGAGCGAACAGGAUUAGAUACCCUGGUAGUCCACGCCGUAAACGGUGGGCGCUAGGUGUGGGAUCGUUUCCACGAUCUCCGUGCCGUA